GAUGCAGCAGAGGGCGAUGAUGAAUGGUGGCUACGACGGUGGGUACGCACAGAUGGGGUAUCCGAGACCGUCACCACCGCCGCAGCAGCCUAUGCGACCACAGGGUGAGCCGAUGGGGAAUUACUUCAGUGACGAGAACCCUAAUGGAUGCUCAGUAAUGUGAGUGAUGAAGUGGUAGGGAUGAUGGGUGCUUAAUGGUGUUGAGUUAUACGGUUAUUUUUAAUUUCAUUUCUAAGUUUUUGUUACUUAUUUUAAGUACGAUGAAUAUCUAGUAUAGAGUUAUAUUAGUUAUCUGGUAGCACAAAGGUGUGAGUG
RNAcentral lists this unclassified non-coding RNA (315 nucleotides) under Hevea brasiliensis (rubber tree). The record is from RNAcentral. Lineage: Eukaryota; Viridiplantae; Streptophyta; Magnoliopsida; Malpighiales; Euphorbiaceae.